GAGUUUGAUCGUGGCUCAGAUUGAACGCUGGCGGCAUGCCUUACACAUGCAAGUCGAACGGCAGCAUGAUCUAGCUUGCUAGAUUGAUGGCGAGUGGCGAACGGGUGAGUAAUACAUCGGAACGUGCCCUGUAGUGGGGGAUAACUAGUCGAAAGAUUAGCUAAUACCGUAUACGACCUGAGGGUGAAAGUGGGGGACCGCAAGGCCUCAUGCUAUAGGAGCGGCCGAUGUCUGAUUAGCUAGUUGGUGGGGUAAAGGCCCACCAAGGCGACGAUCAGUAGCUGGUCUGAGAGGACGAUCAGCCACACUGGGACUGAGACACGGCCCAGACUCCUACGGGAGGCAGCAGUGGGGAAUUUUGGACAAUGGGCGAAAGCCUGAUCCAGCAAUGCCGCGUGUGUGAGAAGGCUC
RNAcentral lists this ribosomal RNA (411 nucleotides) under uncultured microorganism. RNAcentral describes it as "bacterial SSU rRNA". It matches the Rfam family "Bacterial small subunit ribosomal RNA", at positions 9 to 416 of the family's 1533-position model. The record is from RNAcentral.